RNAcentral lists this ribosomal RNA (500 nucleotides) under uncultured Lachnospiraceae bacterium. RNAcentral's name for it is "bacterial SSU rRNA". It matches the Rfam family "Bacterial small subunit ribosomal RNA", at positions 8 to 507 of the family's 1533-position model. The record is from RNAcentral. Lineage: Bacteria; Bacillati; Bacillota; Clostridia; Lachnospirales; Lachnospiraceae.
AGAGUUUGAUCCUGGCUCAGGAUGAACGCUGGCGGCGUGCUUAACACAUGCAAGUCGAGCGAAGCGUAUUAGCGGAAGUUUUCGGAUGGAAGCGGAUAUGACUUAGCGGCGGACGGGUGAGUAACGCGUGGAUAACCUGCCUCAUACAGGGGGAUAACAGUUAGAAAUGACUGCUAAUACCGCAUAAGCGCACAGGACCGCAUGGUCCGGUGUGAAAAACUCCGGUGGUAUGGGAUGGAUCCGCGUCUGAUUAGCUGGUUGGUGAGGUAACGGCCCACCAAGGCGACGAUCAGUAGCCGACCUGAGAGGGUGGCCGGCCACAUUGGGACUGAGACACGGCCCAAACUCCUACGGGAGGCAGCAGUGGGGAAUAUUGCACAAUGGGGGAAACCCUGAUGCAGCAACGCCGCGUGAGUGAAGAAGUAUUUCGGUAUGUAAAGCUCUAUCAGCAGGGAAGAAGAAAGACGGUACCUGACUAAGAAGCCCCGGCUAACUACGUG